Molecule: non-coding RNA, 108 nt
Filed under: Klebsiella grimontii
Lineage: Bacteria; Pseudomonadati; Pseudomonadota; Gammaproteobacteria; Enterobacterales; Enterobacteriaceae
Description: ES222 sRNA
Rfam family: ES222 sRNA
About the family: Differentially expressed under several chemical stress and fermentation conditions.
Source: RNAcentral
AGUGCAUUUGUGUGAACAUUGGGCACUUAUUUGGUGCAAUUGACCUUGAAUAACCCUUUUAACGCUCCGUGAAAGCGAUCACAAAGAAUCUCUGCAAUACUUGUUUGC